RNAcentral lists this ribosomal RNA (452 nucleotides) under uncultured bacterium. RNAcentral's name for it is "bacterial SSU rRNA". It matches the Rfam family "Bacterial small subunit ribosomal RNA", at positions 354 to 796 of the family's 1533-position model. The record is from RNAcentral.
GUCGAGAAUCUUUCGCAAUGCCCGAAAGGGUGACGAAGCGACGCCGCGUGUGGGAAGAAGGCCUUCGGGUUGUAAACCACUGUCGGGAGUUAGGAAAUGCAGGUGCGUUAAUAGCGCACUUGCUUGACUAAGGCUCCAGAGGAAGCCACGGCUAACUCUGUGCCAGCAGCCGCGGUAAUACAGAGGCGGCAAGCGUUGUUCGGAAUUAUUGGGCGUAAAGAGCACGUAGGCGGCCUUGCAAGUCAGUUGUGAAAGCCUUCCGCUUAACGGAAGAACGGCAUCUGAUACUACAGGGCUUGAGUACGGGAGGGGAGAGUGGAACUUCUGGUGGAGCGGUGAAAUGCGUAGAUAUCAGAAGGAACGCCGGCGGCGAAAGCGACUCUCUGGUCCGAAACUGACGCUGAGUGUGCGAAAGCUAGGGGAGCAAACGGGAUUAGAUACCCUAGUAGUCC